GAGUUUGAUCCUGGCUCAGAUUGAACGCUGGCGGCAUGCCUUACACAUGCAAAUCGAACGGCAGCACGGAGCUUGCUCUGGUGGCGAGUGGCGAACGGGUGAGUAAUAUAUCGGAACGUACCCUAGAGUGGGGGAUAACGUAGCGAAAGUUACGCUAAUACCGCAUACGAUCUAAGGAUGAAAGUGGGGGAUCGCAAGACCUCAUGCUCGUGGAGCGGCCGAUAUCUGAUUAGCUAGUUGGUAGGGUAAAAGCCUACCAAGGCAUCGAUCAGUAGCUGGUCUGAGAGGACGACCAGCCACACUGGAACUGAGACACGGUCCAGACUCCUACGGGAGGCAGCAGUGGGGAAUUUUGGACAAUGGGCGAAAGCCUGAUCCAGCAAUGCCGCGUGAGUGAAGAAGGCCUUCGGGUUGUAAAGCUCUUUUGUCAGGGAAGAAACGGUGAGGGCUAAUAUCUCUUGCUAAUGACGGUACCUGAAGAAUAAGCACCGGCUAACUACGUGCCAGCAGCCGCGGUAAUACGUAGGGUGCAAGCGUUAAUCGGAAUUACUGGGCGUAAAGCGUGCGCAGGCGGUUUUGUAAGUCUGAUGUGAAAUCCCCGGGCUCAACCUGGGAAUUGCAUUGGAGACUGCAAGGCUAGAAUCUAGCAGAGGGGGGUAGAAUUCCACGUGUAGCAGUGAAAUGCGUAGAUAUGUGGAGGAACACCGAUGGCGAAGGCAGCCCCCUGGGUCAAGAUUGACGCUCAUGCACGAAAGCGUGGGGAGCAAGCAGGAUUAGAUACCCUGGUAGUCCACGCCCUAAACGAUGUCUACUAGUUGUCGGGUCUUAAUUGACUUGGUAACGCAGCUAACGCGUGAAGUAGACCGCCUGGGGAGUACGGUCGCA
This 885-nucleotide ribosomal RNA is filed under the name uncultured bacterium. Its description in RNAcentral is "bacterial SSU rRNA". It matches the Rfam family "Bacterial small subunit ribosomal RNA", at positions 9 to 890 of the family's 1533-position model. The record is from RNAcentral.